This 258-nucleotide ribosomal RNA is filed under the name uncultured bacterium. RNAcentral's name for it is "partial 16S ribosomal RNA". It matches the Rfam family "Bacterial small subunit ribosomal RNA", at positions 75 to 334 of the family's 1533-position model. The record is from RNAcentral.
CUUGCUUUCUUUGCUGGCGACCGGCGCACGGGUGAGUAACACGUAUCCAACCUGCCCUUUACUCGGGGAUAGCCUUUCGAAAGAAAGAUUAAUACCCGAUAGCAUAAUGAUUCCGCAUGGUUUCAUUAUUAAAGGAUUCCGGUAAAGGAUGGGGAUGCGUUCCAUUAGGUUGUUGGUGAGGUAACGGCCCACCAAGCCUUCGAUGGAUAGGGGUUCUGAGAGGAAGGUCCCCCACAUUGGAACUGAGACACGGUCCAA